UACGUAGGGUGCGAGCGUUAAUCGGAAUUACUGGGCGUAAAGCGUGCGCAGGCGGUGAUGUAAGACAGAUGUGAAAUCCCCGGGCUCAACUUGGGAACUGCAUUUGUGACUGCAUCGCUGGAGUGCGGCAGAGGGGGAUGGAAUUCCGCGUGUAGCAGUGAAAUGCGUAGAUAUGCGGAGGAACACCGAUGGCGAAGGCAAUCCCCUGGGCCUGCACUGACGCUCAUGCACGAAAGCGUGGGGAGCGAACAGG
Molecule: ribosomal RNA, 253 nt
Filed under: uncultured bacterium
Lineage: Bacteria
Description: partial 16S ribosomal RNA
Rfam family: Bacterial small subunit ribosomal RNA
Source: RNAcentral